RNAcentral lists this long non-coding RNA (1333 nucleotides) under Olea europaea subsp. europaea. The record is from RNAcentral. Lineage: Eukaryota; Viridiplantae; Streptophyta; Magnoliopsida; Lamiales; Oleaceae.
GCAAAAGUUUCAUGGAAAGUUCUUAAAGCUUUAGGAUGUUAAAGGAUUGUAGUAGAUCAAGACAUGGAAGUUUGGUUGAAUAGGUUAGGUUGUUUGAAAUGUGACUUGCUUAAUGUUUGGGACUUUCGAAGGACAUGAUUUAUAAUACCGAUGUAAGCUAAUUUCUUUGGCCCGAACACAUUUUCACUACUACUUUCAUAUCAUUGUAAAACACUUGUUAUGUUGCUAAUAAUGCCACAUCUUUCAGUUAUGUCAUGGCAUCACUGAACUAGGGGCAUUUUUUGAACAAUUGAAAAGAGAGCUUCAAGCGUUGGAAGCGGCAAAUGUGCAUGUAAUUUUGGAGAACAAGCAUUAGUUAGUGAGGUAACUUUGGAUUUUAAGCAUUAACAUCCAGGUGUUUACCGUGUUUUGUGUUCUUCUCAUUGCCAUCACUUGUGAUCCAAUAAGAUAUUUUUGUUAAUUGAUUGUAGGUGUAAAUCAUCUGACAUCAUAUAUUGCUAUUUAAUGAUAGCUUUUCGAUUUUACUUAAAAGUAUAACACCUGAGGCUUUUUUAUGAUGAUUGCAUUUGGUUUGAAUUUCUUUCCUUUCAAGUUGACAGCAACAUGGGCUCUGAAUAAUUUAUUUAGGGAUUGUGCAGGUAGUACAGGGCCUUCAGAUUGCUAUCAAUUGUGUCGAGGACAUGGAUGAAUUGUUAGGCAUUUUCAAUGUAAAUCUUCAACAUAUGAGAGAGGACAUAAAAUCGGUAUGCAUAUACUACACUGUUAUCUCAAUUGAAAAGGUAUAGCCCUUGUUUGAGCCACAUUAUUUUAGAAAAAUGCAUUUUUUGAAUAGUGUAUUGAUGAGAAAUGUGUACUUAAAAAAUAGGAAAAGUUUUGGAUUUAUAUGUAAUAUUAUUUUAUUGAAGAAUGUGUGGUUGAAAUGAUGUCAAAUCAUUAUUUAAGAAUGUAUUUUUUCCAAAUAAUGUGAAUCAAACAGGGCCAUAUUCUUGUGAUGUCUUGUGAUUUUGCUCAUAUACAUCAUGUUAGUUAUAAAACUAUAUGCUGCAUGGUGUGUUCGUCUAAUUCCAAUUUUAGAUACACUAUUCAAUCUUCGAUUUUUUUUUUCGAGGUUUUAACAAAUCAUUCCCAAAAAACCAGGAGAUUUUGAAGAAAUUAGAGUUUGGUGACUGAUUUGUGAGAUUUCGUGAUGAAAGAGACCAACUGCAAGCCAUGGCUGAGAUGAAUGGAAGGUAUUUAUCGACGAGACCCAUAAGAAUUAACUCGGCUGCUAACAAACAGAAAGUGGGUGGUCAAACUAAAGUUAUGAUUUACCAUUCAUCCUUGUGGUACGAUA